Long non-coding RNA from Ailuropoda melanoleuca (giant panda), 379 nucleotides. RefSeq lists it as uncharacterized. The transcript has 5 exons. The record is from RefSeq and is a predicted model, not a curated record. NCBI's taxonomy places the organism in Eukaryota, Metazoa, Chordata, Mammalia, Carnivora, Ursidae.
AAAGACGUGACCUCAGAUGUUCUAUUUUUAAUUACAGAAGAUACAAUGUAAACAUUUUCAACUCAUUUUUCUUUUUUAUUCCCUCCUUCCCCUAGUAAUCAAAGCAAAGAAGCUUUCAUUGACUGGGCAAGAUAUGAUGAUUCACAGGAUCACUUUUGUGAGCUUCAUGAUGAGCGAUCGCCGGCGGCUCAGUACGUAGACCUGCUGCUGAACCCGGAGCGCUACACUGGCUACAAAGGGUCUUCCGCGUGGAGAGUGUGGAACAGCAUCUACGAGGAGAACUGUUUCAAGCCUCGAUCUGUUUAUCGUCCUUUAAAUCCUCUGGCACCUAGCCGAGGAGAUGAUGGUGAAUCAUUCUACACGUGGCUGGAAGGUAAAC